This 210-nucleotide ribosomal RNA is filed under the name uncultured bacterium. Its description in RNAcentral is "partial 16S ribosomal RNA". The stretch from base 1 to 187 matches the Rfam family "Bacterial small subunit ribosomal RNA", at positions 568 to 754 of the family's 1533-position model. The record is from RNAcentral.
AGCGUAGGCGGCGUGGUAAGUCAGAUGUGAAAUCCCGGGGCUCAACCCCGGAACUGCAUCCGAUACUGCCGUGCUAGAGGAUUGGAGAGGUAGCUGGAAUUCUUGGUGUAGCAGUGAAAUGCGUGGAGAUCAAGAGGAACACUCGUGGCGAAAGCGAGCUACUGGACAAUAUCUGACGCUGAGGCUCCAAGGGCCAGGGUAAGGCGAAAG